CCGCCGCUCAGCCAGCAGCCGACCUCCUCUCCUAGCCAUUACCCACGUCAGCCCUCUUCCUCCUUGGCGUGCAUGCCCUCUGCUCUCUGCCUUCCAUGGCCGUCGGUCUCCACAGCACAGCAGUCACGGACGCCCCCUGCCACUGCUCCAAAUGGCGAGCUCCACAUCUGCAUGGAGCCGAGCUCUCCCAUCUCCACCAGCCGCUCCCCUCAUCUCUCCUCCCUCCCCAUGCGCGCGAGCAACCCCUCUGCUCGGCUCCUUGCUCCCAUGACCGCUCCUCCUCUGCUCCUCUCUAUCUGCAGCAUCCACCAGCCGGCCCUCAAGGUCAUCUUCCUCCUCCAGCUCGCACCAGAUCCAGCCGCCUCUGGACCUCGCCUCCUCGGGCCCGGCCAUGGUGGCCCUCGGACGUGCUCUCCCGCGUCGAGCUCCUCCAGUGCUGACCUCGUCGGACGCUCAGCUCCUUGGCACUCGGCGUGGCUCCAGCGCCCUCCUCCUGUGGCGCACGAGCACCUCUCCAGGCGCCGCUGCCCCAAGUCCGACCAGCGCCUCUGCCUCGACGCCGGCAGCGCCUCCUCACCGUUAGUCGCAGCAGCGCCGUCGACCUCUGCUGCGAGCUCGUCCCGACGACCACCGUCGUUCUCUGCAGCUCACAUCCACAGCCCUCAUGCCGUCGGACGUCGCGGUCUAUGCAUGUGCUGCAGCAUCAGCCUCAACACCUUCGGGUCACCUGCGCCGAUCCGAUCUGUGCAGCCCCGGCAAGAUGUCGUCAAACACCGGUGAAUCCUCGCUGUCCCGUGUUCCUUGGUUUGAUAAAAUGGCCGAACCAAUAAACUGUGUAAUCAGGGCCGGUCCUGACAUUUCGGGGGCCCUAAGCAAAAAUUUAUAUAGAGGCCCCAUAUAACUAGAUAUAUGUAUAUAUCAU
RNAcentral lists this unclassified non-coding RNA (922 nucleotides) under Zea mays. RNAcentral's name for it is "misc RNA Zm00001eb074800". Lineage: Eukaryota; Viridiplantae; Streptophyta; Magnoliopsida; Poales; Poaceae. The record is from RNAcentral.